GGUAUCGCCGUUAGUCAUGUGCAAAUAUGGAUAGCUGUUUUAGCCGUCUUUAUUGACUGGUUUAUAAGAGUUAUCAGAUAUCACUUUGAUUAAAUUAGAGUGCUUAAAGCAAGUGUGUUACUUGGAUAUAAAUGCAUGGAAUGAUGGAAUAUGUUGUUAUUCUAUUUGUUGGUUUUUGAAUGAUAAAAUGAUUGAAAGGAACUGUUGGGGGCAUUCGUAUUGUUGUGAGAGAGGUGAAAUUCUUAGACCACAGCAAGACGAACUACUGCGAAAGCAUUUGCCAAGAAUGUUUUCAUUGAUCAAGAACGAAAGUUAGAGGUUCGAAGGCGAUCAGAUACCGCCCUAGUUCUAACCAUAAACUAUGCCAACUAGCAAUUUGCUUUGUAUUUUUUAUGACUAAGUGAGAGGCCACGGGAAACCUAAGUAGGGUUAUGGGGGAAGUAUGGUUGCAAAGCUGAAACUUAAAGGAAUUGACGGAAGGGCACCACCAGGAGUGGAGCCUGCGGCUUAAUUUGACUCAACACGGGAAAACUUACCUGGUCCUGACACUAGAAGGAUUGACAGAUUGAUAGCUCUUUCUUGAUUUGGUGGAUGGUGGUGCAUGGCCGUUCUUAGUUGGUGGAGUGAUUUGUCUGGUUAAUUCCGAUAACGAACGAGACUCUAGCCUAUUAAAUAAUACACGGAAUUUUAUCUUCCGCGGUAUUUCUUAGUGGGAUCAAGCG
Molecule: ribosomal RNA, 722 nt
Filed under: uncultured eukaryote
Lineage: Eukaryota
Description: SSU rRNA
Rfam family: Eukaryotic small subunit ribosomal RNA
Source: RNAcentral